GUAAUUUGCAGAGGAUGCUUUUGGCGCGGUGCCUUCUGAGUUCCCUGGAACGGGACGCCGGAGAGGGUGAGAGCCCCGUACAGUUGGACACCAAGCCUUUGUAAAGCUCCUUCGACGAGUCGAGUAGUUUGGGAAUGCUGCUCAAAAUGGGAGGUAAAUGCCUUCUAAAGCUAAAUACCGGCCAGAGACCGAUAGCGCACAAGUAGAGUGAUCGAAAGAUGAAAAGCACUUUGAAAAGAGGGUUAAACAGUACGUGAAAUUGUUGAAAGGGAAGCGCUCGUGACCAGACUUGCGCCCGGCGGAUCAUCCGGCCUUCUGGCCGGUGCACUCCGCCGGGCUCAGGCCAGCAUCGGUUUUCCUGGGGGGAUAAAAGUGGCGGGAACGUAGCUCCUCCGGGAGUGUUAUAGCCCGCCGCAGCAUACCCCCGGGGGGACCGAGGACCGCGCUUCGGCAAGGAUGCUGGCGUAAUGGUCACCAGCGACCCGUCUUGAAACACGGACCAAGGAGUCAAGCAUUAGGGCGAGUGUUUGGGUGUCAAACCCGCACGCGAAAUGAAAGUGAACGCAGGUGAGAGCUUCGGCGCAUCAUCGACCGAUCCUGAUGUUUUCGGAUGGAUUUGAGUAAGAGCCUUGCCGCUUG
This 639-nucleotide ribosomal RNA is filed under the name soil fungal sp. DM2-382. Its description in RNAcentral is "eukaryotic LSU rRNA". It matches the Rfam family "Eukaryotic large subunit ribosomal RNA", at positions 145 to 812 of the family's 3401-position model. The record is from RNAcentral. Lineage: Eukaryota; Fungi.